This 936-nucleotide ribosomal RNA is filed under the name Triticum aestivum (bread wheat). Its description in RNAcentral is "partial small subunit ribosomal RNA". The record is from RNAcentral. Lineage: Eukaryota; Viridiplantae; Streptophyta; Magnoliopsida; Poales; Poaceae.
CAUGGAAGGUCUGGAGCAAUCCUUCUUGGGAUACUGGCAUCAUUCAUAGACUUGUUGGCCUUUUCAAUCGGCAAAUUUCAUAUAAAAUUUCACCUAAGAAACGGGACUGAUAAUUUCACAUGGACUCUCGUCGCUGUCUAUGGGUCUGCCUAAGAUGAACAUAAAGAGGCUUUUCUUCAGGAAUUGGUGGACCUGGCUAAGGAUAACCCAUAUCCAAUGCUGAUUGGAGGGGACUUUAAUAUCCUUAUGUACCAGGAAGAGAAAAAUAGUGACCGCUUCGACACCCAUUGGCCUUUUCUAUUCAACGUUGUGAUAGACAGUUUGGAUCUUCGAUAGGCCAUUAUGUCGGGGCGGUAGUUCACCUGGGCUAAUAAUCGAUCUAUGCCGACAUACGAGAAGCUUGAUAGGGUACUCAUGGACACCAGAUGGGAACUAAAAUUUCCUUUUGUAACCGUGCGAGCCCUAGAGCGUAUCGAGGCAUUAUCGGAUCAUGCACCCAUCAUUCUGGAUUCUAACUCUACAAAUCCACCCGACUGUCGACCCUUCAAAUUUGAAUUGGGAUGGAUGCAUAGGGAAGGAUUUGUGGACAUAGUUAAGAAUGUUUGGGAGCGUCCUGCCAUUGGUCGUACACCGAUUCAGAGAUGGAACUUUAAAAUAAGGGCCAUGAGGCAACACCUCACUGGAUGGGCGAAACACACCAACGGAAUAUAUAAAAAAGAAAAACAACGGAUCUCCACCAUUAUUGAUGACCUCGACAAGAUUGCAGAGACGCGCACCUUAUCUCAACAAGAGAUUGAAUUGAAAAUUCAAUCUAAUGAGAAGGUGGCUAGGCUCUUGCAAAAAGAGGAAAUCAAAUACUACCAGAGAUCUAAAGCUGACUUCAUUUUGAUGGGUGAUAGUAAUACAAGAUACUUCCAAUUGAUUGCCAAUGGGUGA